RNAcentral lists this ribosomal RNA (2311 nucleotides) under gut metagenome. Its description in RNAcentral is "bacterial LSU rRNA". It matches the Rfam family "Bacterial large subunit ribosomal RNA", at positions 3 to 2308 of the family's 2925-position model. The record is from RNAcentral.
UUAAGCUACAAAGAGCGUAGGGAGAAUGCCUAGGUACCAAGAGCCGAUGAAGGACGUGAUAAGCUGCGAAAAGCUACGGGGAGGAGCAAAUAUCCAUCAAUCCGUAGAUGUCCGAAUGAGGGAACUCAUAUGGCAAAAAGAAGCCAUAUAUCUAUGUACAAGUAAAGUAGUACAUAAGAAGGGAACGUGGGGAACUGAAACAUCUAAGUACCCAUAGGAAGAGAAAAUAAACAAUGAUUUCUGUAGUAGUGGCGAGCGAACCAGAAAGAGCCCAAACCAUAAGUAGAAAUACAUAUGGGGUACGGACUACCAUAAACUACUAACAAGUCUAAUAGAAUCAUCUGGGAAGGUGAACCAAAGACGGUGAAAGUCCAGUAUAUGAAAGAUAAGUUAGGGUAGGUAGAAUCCAGAGUAGUGCGAGACACAGGGAAUCUCGUAUGAAAGAGCGGGGACCAUCCCGUAAGGCUAAAUACUACUUGGUAACCGAUAGUGAACGAGUACCGUGAGGGAAAGGUGAAAAGGACCCCGGGAGGGGAGUGAAAGAGAACCUGAAACCCUAUGUUUACAAGCAGAUAGAGCGAUUUAAGGCGCGAUAUCGUACUUUUUGUAGAACGGUCCAGCGAGUUAUUGUAUGUGGCGAGGUUAAAUUCUAAGAAGGAAUGGAGCCGAAGAGAAAUCGAGUCUGAAAAGGGCGAAUAAGUCAUAUAUAAUAGACCCGAAACCGGGUGACCUAUCCAUGGUCAGGAUGAAGCUAAAGUAAAAUUUAGUGGAGGUCCGAACUGAUUGUCGUUAAAAAGGCACCGGAUGAACUGUGGAUAGCGGAGAAAUUCCAAUCGAACUCGGAGAUAGCUGGUUCUCCUCGAAAUAGCUUUAGGGCUAGCCUUGAGGUAAAACAUGUGGGGGUAGAGCACUGAAUGAUUUAGGGGCCAAACCAGGUUACCGACAUCUAUCAAACUGCGAAUACCAUGUGGAAGUACUCAGGAGUCAGACUGCGGGAGCUAAGUUCCGUGGUCAAAAGGGAAAGAGCCCAGACCGACAAUUAAGGUCCCAAAGAGAUAGUUAAGUGGAAAACGAUGUGAAAAUGCAAAGACAACCAGGAUGUUGGCUUAGAAGCAGCCAUACAUUAAAAGAGUGCGUAACAGCUCACUGGUCGAGUGAAUUUGCGCGGAAAAUUACCGGGGCUAAACUAUCCACCGAAAUUACGGAUUGCAGUACAUUUAACAAUGUAUGCGGAAAGAGAAAAGAAGAAAGAAGUAUAUAUUGUUAAGUGUACUGUAGUGGUAGAGGAGCAUUCUGUAGUAGGAAGAAGCCAAAGCGAGAGCAUUAGUGGACGAGACAGAAGAGAGAAUGCUGGAAUAAGUAGCGAGAGCAAGGUGAGAAUCCUUGCCGUCGAAAGUCUAAGGUUUCCUGGGGAAGGUUCGUCCGCCCAGGGUAAGUCGGGACCUAAGGAGAGGCCGAGAAGGCGUAUCUGAUGGACAGCAGGUUGAAAUUCCUGCACUACCGAUACUUUAAAAAACGUCAAGGGACGCAGGAGAGGAAGGAAAGCGAGGAAGAGGAAAGACUCGUAUCGAAAGAUAUAGUGAAAAAAUGAAGUAACGAAUUUCCAAGAAUCACACUGACGAGAAAAGCUUGAUGACAUUAAGUAAAGGUACCCGUACCGCAAACCGACACAGGUAGAUGAGGAGAGGAUCCUAAGACGAACGGGAGAAGCAUUGUUAAGGAACUCGGCAAAAUGACCCCGUAACUUCGGGAGAAGGGGAACCUAGGUAAAACUAGGUCGCAGAGAAAAGGCCCAAGCAACUGUUUAACAAAAACACAGGUUUCUGCUAAAUCGAAAGAUGAAGUAUAGGAGCUGACGCCUGCCCAGUGCUGGAAGGUCAAGGGGAGAUGUUAGAAGAAAUUCGAAGCAUAGAACCAAAGCCCCAGUGAACGGCGGCCGUAACUAUAACGGUCCUAAGGUAGCGAAAUUCCUUGUCAGGUAAGUUCUGACCCGCACGAAAGGCGUAAUGAUUUGGGCACUGUCUCGACAAUGUACCCGGCGAAAUUGUAGUACUAGUGAAGAUGCUAGUUACCUGCGACAAGACAGAAAGACCCCAUGGAGCUUUACUGUAGUUUGAUAUUGGGUUUUGGUAAUUUAUGUACAGGAUAGGUGGGAGACAGAGAAGGAUGUGCGUCAGCAUAUCUGGAGUCAACGUUGGGAUACCACUCUUAAGUUAUUGAAAUUCUAACUUGUGAUCAUAAACUGGUCAGAGGACAAUGUCAGACGGGCAGUUUGACUGGGGCGGUCGCCUCCAAAAGAGUAACGGAGGCG